UGAGGAAUAUUGGUCAAUGGGCGAGAGCCUGAACCAGCCAAGUAGCGUGAAGGAUGACUGCCCUAUGGGUUGUAAACUUCUUUUAUAAAGGAAUAAAGUCGGGUAUGGAUACCCGUUUGCAUGUACUUUAUGAAUAAGGAUCGGCUAACUCCGUGCCAGCAGCCGCGGUAAUACGGAGGAUCCGAGCGUUAUCCGGAUUUAUUGGGUUUAAAGGGAGCGUAGAUGGAUGUUUAAGUCAGUUGUGAAAGUUUGCGGCUCAACCGUAAAAUUGCAGUUGAUACUGGAUAUCUUGAGUGCAGUUGAGGCAGGCGGAAUUCGUGGUGUAGCGGUGAAAUGCUUAGAUAUCACGAAGAACUCCGAUUGCGAAGGCAGCCUGCUAAGCUGCAACUGACAUUGAGGCUCGAAAGUGUGGGUAUCAAACAGGAUUAGAUACCCUGGUAGUCCACACGGUAAACGAUGAAUACUCGCUGUUUGCGAUAUACUGCAAGCGGCCAAGCGAAAGCGUUAAGUAUUCCACCUGGGGAGUACACCGGCAACGGUGAAACUCAAAGGAAUUGACGGGGGCCCGCACAAGCGGAGGAACAUGUGGUUUAAUUCGAUGAUACGCGAGGAACCUUACCCGGGCUUAAAUUGCAGAUGAAUUACGGUGAAAGCCGUAAGCCGCAAGGCAUCUGUGAAGGUGCUGCAUGGUUGUCGUCAGCUCGUGCCGUGAGGUGUCGGCUUAAGUGCCAUAACGAGCGCAACCCUUGUUGUCAGUUGCUAACAGGUUCCGCUGAGGACUCUGACAAGACUGCCAUCGUAAGAUGUGAGGAAGGUGGGGAUGACGUCAAAUCAGCACGGCCCUUACGUCCGGGGCUACACACGUGUUACAAUGGGGGGUACAGAGGGCCGCUACCACGCGAGUGGAUGCCAAUCCCCAAAACCUCUCUCAGUUCGGACUGGAGUCUGCAACCCGACUCCACGAAGCUGGAUUCGCUAGUAAUCGCGCAUCAGCCACGGCGCGGUGAAUACGUUCCC
This 1017-nucleotide ribosomal RNA is filed under the name uncultured bacterium. RNAcentral describes it as "bacterial SSU rRNA". It matches the Rfam family "Bacterial small subunit ribosomal RNA", at positions 355 to 1375 of the family's 1533-position model. The record is from RNAcentral.